GGGAGAAGGCUCGGGUUACGGGGCAGUGGUGUUAUUUCAGAAAUCCUUGUCACCUCGUGUCAUCCACCCUCUCCGAGAAUCACAGUCCCACCUUGGGGGAGAGGGACAAAAGCCACGGCCAGGCAGGCCGGAGGCCAGCGGGGCCAGCCCACCGGCCGGCGCACGCACGGAGGCCAGGGCCAGGGUGCCCUCCAUUCCGGCUCGCGGGCACCGGGUGGCAGGGCCCGAGGAACGCUCCCGAGACCCGGCGGCAGCGCCCAGGGGCAACAGACCCGGGGUGACAAAUCCUUGGAUACCAGCUAGGAGGAGCUGCCCACAGCAGGUUAAGUUUAAGGAGCGUCGUCUCUGCCCUCCGCUCCCUCCGGGGAAAGACCCCCGGUGCGGAAUCCCUGGGAAAACCUGGAAGGAGCCGCCUACAGCAAGUAGUGAAGCUUGAGAAGGACCGUCUCUGUCUGCAGUCUCCUCUCCUCCGGGGAAAGACCGGGGCUUUAAAACCGCUUGAAAUAAGCCCAGCACUUGCUCCAUUAGUUUGAGAAAAGCCUCUUUUAUUCGCUCCUGCCGCUUUGGACGAAAGCCCUGGUUAAUGCCCUGUCCUCCCUCCCUCCCCGCGGGGAUCUCCCUUAAAAGCUUUUGAAAGGGACUGGAGAGGAGGCAGCCGCAGCCUGCUCGGGGCUGCUGCCACAGAGGGCGGCCAGCAUUUCACUCUCACCGACCAUGGCAACCCCAGAAGCUUUGCAACUCCUGGGAGGAAUUUGCAGCUGUCAGGGAAGCCCUGCGUUUUGCAGCGACUCCGAGGUGGAUAAGGGGCCCCAGGGCUUCCUCGUCCUGCGGGGUAGAAUGGAAUAAUCGGGAGGGCGACCCCUUUGCUGACCUUUAUUCAAAGCACUGUGCUGCUGAAAACAACAGGCUCGCACAGAGUAUAUAUACAGGCAGGGAGCUACGUUGGAAAUGCUCGAAGUUCGGACAAAGUAAAUUUAUCUGCUGGCCCCUC
This is a long non-coding RNA of Lontra canadensis (Northern American river otter), 991 nucleotides long. RefSeq lists it as uncharacterized. NCBI's taxonomy places the organism in Eukaryota, Metazoa, Chordata, Mammalia, Carnivora, Mustelidae. The transcript is spliced from 2 exons. The record is from RefSeq and is a predicted model, not a curated record.